UGGGGAAUUUUGCACAAUGGGGGAAACCCUGAUGCAGCGACGCCGCGUGAUUUAGAAGGCCUUCGGGUUGUAAAAAUCUUUUCUAUGGGAAGAAAAUGACAGUACCAUAGGAAUAAGGACCGGCUAAUUACGUGCCAGCAGCCGCGGUAAUACGUAAGGUCCGAGCGUUGUCCGGAAUCAUUGGGCGUAAAGGGUACGUAGGCGGGUAAGCAAGUUAGAAGUGAAAUCCUAUAGCGCAACUAUAGUAAGCUUUUAAAGCGGCUCAUCUUGUGGUAUGGAAGGGAAGGUGGAGUUCCUAGUGUAGCAGUGAAAUGCGCAGAUAUUAGGAGGAAUACCGGUGGCGAAGGCGACUUUCUGGCCAUAACCUAACGCUGAGGUACGAAAGCGUGGGUAGCAAACAGG
Molecule: ribosomal RNA, 402 nt
Filed under: bacterium
Lineage: Bacteria
Description: partial 16S ribosomal RNA
Rfam family: Bacterial small subunit ribosomal RNA
Source: RNAcentral